Molecule: non-coding RNA, 41 nt
Filed under: uncultured Chlamydomonas
Lineage: Eukaryota; Viridiplantae; Chlorophyta; Chlorophyceae; Chlamydomonadales; Chlamydomonadaceae
Source: RNAcentral
CCCCAAGUUGCUCGGCCCGCUGCUCGCAGCCAUGCUUGAGA